GAUGAACGCUAGCGGCAGGCUUAACACAUGCAAGUCGAGGGGUAACAGGGGAAAGCUUGCUUUUUUGCUGACGACCGGCGCACGGGUGAGUAACGCGUAUAGAACCUACCUUUUACAGGGGAAUAGCCCAGAGAAAUUUGGAUUAAUACCCUAUAGUAUUAUUGAGUGGCAUCAUUUAAUAAUUAAACAUUUAUGGGUAAAAGAUGGCUAUGCGUUCUAUUAGCUAGAUGGUAAGGUAACGGCUUACCAUGGCAACGAUAGAUAGGGGUCCUGAGAGGGAGAUCCCCCACACUGGUACUGAGACACGGACCAGACUCCUACGGGAGGCAGCAGUGAGGAAUAUUGGACAAUGGAGGCAACUCUGAUCCAGCCAUGCCGCGUGCAGGAAGACGGCCCUAUGGGUUGUAAACUGCUUUUAUACGGGAAGAAACCCAACUACGUGUAGUUGGCUGACGGUACCGUAAGAAUAAGCACCGGCUAACUCCGUGCCAGCAGCCGCGGUAAUACGGAGGGUGCAAGCGUUAUCCGGAAUCAUUGGGUUUAAAGGGUCCGUAGGCGGGCUAAUAAGUCAGGGGUGAAAUCCAACAGCUUAACUGUUGAACUGCCUUUGAUACUGUUAGUCUUGAAUUAUAUGGAAGUAGAUAGAAUGUGUAGUGUAGCGGUGAAAUGCUUAGAGAUUACACAGAAUACC
This 691-nucleotide ribosomal RNA is filed under the name Lutibacter sp. RNAcentral's name for it is "bacterial SSU rRNA". It matches the Rfam family "Bacterial small subunit ribosomal RNA", at positions 28 to 710 of the family's 1533-position model. Lineage: Bacteria; Pseudomonadati; Bacteroidota; Flavobacteriia; Flavobacteriales; Flavobacteriaceae. The record is from RNAcentral.